GAGAGAUGGCUCAGUAGUUAAGAGCACUGGUUGCAAUUCCAGAAGGCCUGGGUUCAAUUCCUGGCACUCA
RNAcentral lists this transfer RNA (70 nucleotides) under Cricetulus griseus (Chinese hamster). It matches the Rfam family "tRNA". From Rfam's summary of the family: Transfer RNA (tRNA) molecules are approximately 80 nucleotides in length. The record is from Rfam by way of RNAcentral. Lineage: Eukaryota; Metazoa; Chordata; Mammalia; Rodentia; Cricetidae.